This is a non-coding RNA of Ameiurus melas (black bullhead), 74 nucleotides long. Lineage: Eukaryota; Metazoa; Chordata; Actinopteri; Siluriformes; Ictaluridae. The record is from the annotation of a GenBank genome assembly.
GGCAGUGGGGGCUUAGCGGUUAAGGCUCUGGGUUACUGAUCGGAAGGUCGGGGGUUCGAGCCCCAGCACUGCCA